GUGCUCACUUCGGCAGCAUACAUAAUAAAAUUGGAACAAUACAGAGCAGGUUAACAUGGCCUCUGCAGAAAGAUGCACACAAAUUCGUGAUGCAUUCCAUAAUUUU
Molecule: small nuclear RNA, 106 nt
Filed under: Microcebus murinus (gray mouse lemur)
Lineage: Eukaryota; Metazoa; Chordata; Mammalia; Primates; Cheirogaleidae
Source: RNAcentral